CAGUAGCCGCGGUAAUACGAAGGGUGCAAGCGUUAAUCGGAAUUACUGGGCGUAAAGCGUGCGUAGGCGGUGAGUUAAGUCUGCUGUGAAAUCCCCGGGCUCAACCUGGGAAUGGCAGUGGAUACUGGCUCGCUAGAGUGUGUCAGAGGAUGGUGGAAUUCCCGGUGUAGCGGUGAAAUGCGUAGAGAUCGGGAGGAACAUCAGUGGCGAAGGCGGCCAUCUGGGACAACACUGACGCUGAGGCACGAAAGCGUGGGGAGCAAACAGGAUUAGAUACCCCAGUAGUCCCUGUCUCUUAUAU
RNAcentral lists this ribosomal RNA (301 nucleotides) under uncultured bacterium. RNAcentral describes it as "partial 16S ribosomal RNA". It matches the Rfam family "Bacterial small subunit ribosomal RNA", at positions 509 to 809 of the family's 1533-position model. The record is from RNAcentral.